CUCGAGCGCCAGCGAGAGAACGUUGCCGCAGGCAACGGCCCGAAGGGCGAGGCGCUUUAGCGCCGAGUAAUCCUUCCCCCACCACCA
RNAcentral lists this small RNA (87 nucleotides) under Klebsiella aerogenes. RNAcentral's name for it is "partial RtT sRNA". It matches the Rfam family "RtT RNA", at positions 47 to 130 of the family's 130-position model. Rfam says of the family: This family represents a bacterial cis-regulatory element known as RtT RNA. The record is from RNAcentral. Lineage: Bacteria; Pseudomonadati; Pseudomonadota; Gammaproteobacteria; Enterobacterales; Enterobacteriaceae. RNAcentral also lists the same sequence under 1 other name.